Molecule: long non-coding RNA, 1052 nt
Organism: Oreochromis aureus
Lineage: Eukaryota; Metazoa; Chordata; Actinopteri; Cichliformes; Cichlidae
Source: Ensembl
CUGACCCAACAGCCCUCUCCUGACGCAGCCUCUCAUUGUCUGCUUUCAGCUGCACGAUCAAGUCCCUGAGUUCCUGUAACUCUUCCUCCAUCUCUGUAACACAGCUGUGGAAUCCCACACCAAAGUAGCUGCUGCUUUGCUUUUAUCCUGUACAAACAGUGGAGGGCAGGGAUGCCACACACAAACUCAAAAAAAGAAGAAAAUACACCAAGACACAAGUGCAGCACACUAUCACACACUCACACUAUAAAUUAAACAAGGCAGGUGUGUACACUCAGAGGAUCCCACCACCAAGGCACCCUGGUCUCCUCCACGUCGGCACUCCGCAUCUGAAUAAAAGAAACAAAGAAAAUUUAAUAUAUUACAACAAAACUAAUAUGCAGCGCUGGGGGAUAACCCAACUGCAGGACCACACUGGUGAUCUACAGCUAGAAAAAGGGCCUCCCACCAGUGGCGUAACAAAAAUCCAAACUACAAAUCAAACAACAGUAAAACAACAUACAAUCUGGGUAAAACUCUAAAAUAUGGAGCAAACGGAAUCGCCGUAUUGCUCCAACUUGCCGUCUGCACGGCUAUAAGUUAAUUAUCCAGUCAGUCAAUCAGUAUGCGCGCCAGCCGACCCGCGUGGCAUGCAUAUGGCCGUUGUUCACGCCGACGUCCACUUUAAAGGCUGGCAGCAGCAAAGAAACUUCGCAGCCGGAACAGACAGUAAAAAUAAAGUAAAACAAAGCAAAGCAUCACAGCAAAGCAAAGCAAAGCAGCAGCACUUCAGUUCACGUAGCUUGGCGCAAAACUCAGGCCCACACUUCCUGCAAAGCAUAAUAAAUAAUUACUAUAAAAGAACAACAGAAGGCAGAGAGCGUAACAGAAGUUGAUUACAUACCAAGUAAGCCGUGUCAUAAAACGUAAGCAGAAUGGCUCAGAGGAGGCUUCUACAGCUACGACCUACAAACAAUAGCUGUUUACCAUCAAGCAAAGUAAUAUAUACACUACAAUGAGUAAACACCUACCAGCUGCGAUGGAGGCUUCGGAAAAGUAACCCGCAACUAAGC